CGUGUGGGCCGGGGUGCCGCUGCGCCAGCGAUGGCGCAGAGGAAAGUCCGGACUCCAAAAAAACUUUUGGGCCGUGGCCCGAAAGGGGCGCCAGGCCAGUUAACGGCUGGGCGGAGCGAUCCGACGGAAAGUGCAACAGAAAAAAUACCGCCUGGCCAUCCAAGGCCGGGCAAGGGUGAAAUGGUGGGGUAAGAGCCCACCGCUGCGGCGGCAACGUUGCAGGCAUGGCAAACCCCCUGGGGAGCAAGACCAAAUAAGCCGGCGAUGCCAUCUGCGCCUUGGCGCUGGUGGGCGAAAGAUUGGCCCGGUCGAGCCGGCGGGUAGGUCGCUAGAGGUGGCAGGCGACUGCCAUCCCAGAGGAAUGGCACCCGACCACAGAAUCCGGCUUAUAGGCCCACCUUGGCC
This 405-nucleotide RNase P RNA is filed under the name Holophagales bacterium. RNAcentral describes it as "RNase P RNA component class A". It matches the Rfam family "Bacterial RNase P class A". From Rfam's summary of the family: Ribonuclease P (RNase P) is a ubiquitous endoribonuclease, found in archaea, bacteria and eukarya as well as chloroplasts and mitochondria. Its best characterised activity is the generation of mature 5'-ends of tRNAs by cleaving the 5'-leader elements of precursor-tRNAs. Lineage: Bacteria; Pseudomonadati; Acidobacteriota; Holophagae; Holophagales. The record is from RNAcentral.